UGGGGAAUAUUGCACAAUGGGCGCAAGCCUGAUGCAGCAACGCCGCGUGAGGGACGACGGCCUUCGGGUUGUAAACCUCUUUUAGCAGGGAAGAAGCGAAAGUGACGGUACCUGCAGAAGAAGCGCCGGCUAACUACGUGCCAGCAGCCGCGGUAAUACGUAGGGCGCAAGCGUUGUCCGGAAUUAUUGGGCGUAACGAGCUCGUAGGCGGCUUGUCGCGUCUGCUGUGAAAGCCCGGGGCUUAACUCCGGGUGUGCAGUGGGUACGGGCAGGCUAGAGUGCAGUAGGUGUAACCGGAAUUCCUGGUGUAGCGGUGAAAUGCGCAGAUAUCAGGAGGAACAACGAUGUCGAAGGCAGGUUAUUGUGCUGUUACUGACGCUGAGGAGCGAAAGCAUGGGGAGCGAACA
This 407-nucleotide ribosomal RNA is filed under the name uncultured prokaryote. RNAcentral's name for it is "bacterial SSU rRNA". It matches the Rfam family "Bacterial small subunit ribosomal RNA", at positions 355 to 774 of the family's 1533-position model. The record is from RNAcentral.